This is a long non-coding RNA of Homo sapiens (human), 886 nucleotides long. RefSeq annotates it as GATD1 divergent transcript. The record is from RefSeq and is marked validated. The transcript has 2 exons. Lineage: Eukaryota; Metazoa; Chordata; Mammalia; Primates; Hominidae.
GUUCGUACCCGGUCCGGGUCGGCUGGGCUGCCCGCCGCUCCGCGCGCCCGGGCGGUCGCAGGUCGCGCCUGCUUUGGCCCCGGCGGGUUCGGCAUCCGAGCCUGGCAGGGGCCAAUAGAAAGUUUCCUACACUACUGAGGUUUAGGGGCACUGUGAAGCAAAAGCCACGCCUCAGAAUCCCAGGCGGAGACUCCGACCUCGUCCCGGGAGGGAAGCCAGUAGCUGAGCACCUGCGGGAGAUUAAAGAGAGGAAUAAGGAGGUGAGUACAUGACAAAGAGCCACAGUCGCAGGCGGUGGGGCCUGGCUCAGAACAGGCUGUGCUGGGAAGCGGGAGCAGGAGCUGGCGCCGCCUUGCGGGCUGGCAGAGGACCAUCCACUCCCUGGCGCUGGGGCCGUCCCAUCUCAUGGGCAAGAAACGUGAGACCCCUGGCUCGCUCCACACACAACCUAAGUGCCAGAUGGAUGAGACGCCUACGCGUGAGUAAAUGCCAGGAACAUGAGACUCGAACGUGGCAGGAUAUCCUUCUGCCCACGAAUCUAAAAGCUUACUCGGUAAUGGGAGAAUGGUUCCAAUUUGAUAAACUCGGGUUUUUGGAACGUCUGUGCUCCAGAAACACUGGAAGGCAAGUGGCUGCUGACUGGAGGAGAUAAUUGGAUGCUGCAAGCGGCAAAGGGCUCGGGAUGCAAAACACCGCAAGAAAUGCAACAAGUGAGGAGCAUUCCCGCAAAGAAAAAACGCACAGGCCGAGAGCAGUGGCUCACGCCUGUAAUCCCAGCAGUUUGGGAGGCCGAGGCAGGUGCAUCGCUUGAGGACAGGAGUUCGAGACUAGGCUGGCCAACAUGGUGAAACCCCAUCUCUACUAAAAAUACAAAAAAAAAAAAAAA